CCUANGGGGGGCAGCAGUAAGGAAUAUUGGUCAAUGGACGAAAGUCUGAACCAGCCAUGCCGCGUGAAGGAUGAAGGCCCUCUGGGUUGUAAACUUCUUUUAUCUGGGACGAAAAAAGCUCAUUCUUGAGCACUUGACGGUACCAGAGGAAUAAGCACCGGCUAACUCCGUGCCAGCAGCCGCGGUAAUACGGAGGGUGCAAGCGUUAUCCGGAUUUACUGGGUUUAAAGGGUGCGUAGGUGGGUCUGUAAGUCAGUGGUGAAAUCUCCGAGCUUAACUCGGAAACUGCCAUUGAUACUAUAGGUCUUGAAUUAUCUGGAGGUAAGCGGAAUAUGUCAUGUAGCGGUGAAAUGCUUAGAUAUGACAUAGAACACCAAUUGCGAAGGCAGCUUACUACGGAUAUAUUGACACUGAGGCACGAAAGCGUGGGGAUCAAACAGGAUUAGAUACCCGGNUANUC
RNAcentral lists this ribosomal RNA (460 nucleotides) under uncultured bacterium. RNAcentral's name for it is "bacterial SSU rRNA". It matches the Rfam family "Bacterial small subunit ribosomal RNA", at positions 338 to 795 of the family's 1533-position model. The record is from RNAcentral.